AAAGUGUGAAAAACUCAUCUCAACACGUAACUGCUUGUGAAGGGUUGGAAGGUGAGGCAUCAUUGAUUGAAACCUUCAUCCAACCUCAACGACUUCAUCAUAUCUAACAACAUUAUCCUUCUACUCCUAGCCAAGGAGGACCAUCUCGAAAACGGAUAUACUAGUGCAUUGAUCUUGCAAAUCAUAUUGACCCAAAAAAAACAACAAAAAAUUAAAUUCAUGUAUUAAAUUUAGAUAUAAGUUUUUAAAAAUAAAUAAAUAAAUAAAAUUUUGG
This 274-nucleotide long non-coding RNA is filed under the name Lupinus angustifolius (narrow-leaved blue lupine). RNAcentral describes it as "long non-coding RNA (LANG_LNC002433)". The record is from RNAcentral. Lineage: Eukaryota; Viridiplantae; Streptophyta; Magnoliopsida; Fabales; Fabaceae.